Molecule: ribosomal RNA, 529 nt
Filed under: uncultured Planctomycetota bacterium
Lineage: Bacteria; Pseudomonadati; Planctomycetota
Description: bacterial SSU rRNA
Rfam family: Bacterial small subunit ribosomal RNA
Source: RNAcentral
GGGCGAAAGCCUGACGGAGCGACGCCGCGUGAGUGAGGAAGGUCUUCGGAUCGUAAAACUCUGUCAGAGGGGAAGAAACACGAAUGGGUUAAUACCUCAUUCGCUUGACGGUACCCUCAGAGGAAGCUCCGGCUAACUCCGUGCCAGCAGCCGCGGUAAUACGGAGGGAGCAAACGUUGUUCGGAAUCACUGGGCGUAAAGGGCUCGUAGGCGGCUUUUUAAGUCGGGGGUGAAAUCCAGUGGCUCAACCAUUGGCCUGCCUCCGAAACUGAAAAGCUUGAGUCCGUGAGGGGAGAGGGGAAUUCCUGGUGUAUCGGUGAAAUGAGUUGAUAUCAGGAGGAACACCCGUGGCGAAGGCGCCUCUCUGGCACGGUACUGACGCUGAGGAGCGAAAGCGUGGGGAGCAAACAGGAUUAGAUACCCUGGUAGUCCACGCCGUAAACGAUGAGAACUAGGUGUCGGGGGAUCGACCCCUUCGGUGCCGCAGUUAACGCAUUAAGUUCUCCGCCUGGGGAGUACGGUCGCAAGG